UAGGUCUGACUCUGAAGGUAGUAUUCUGUGGAAUCUAGCCAGCAGGUCCUAGAACAGUAUCCCAAUCUUGUCAUUACUAGCUUCAGAGUAAAUGCAAGAGUCCCUCACUCACUUGUUCCCAAUUGCCUAAUAUGAGCACUGUGCAAGUACCUGAGCCUCAGUUACUUCAUCUACAAAAUGGGAGCCUUUCUAUCUGUCUCACGUGGUUGUGAGGAUUACAAGGGAGAACAAAAAGUAUUUAUAAUGACAAGUAAUAAUAGAAAUUCUCUUCUUAUUUCUUUCCCCUGAUUUUCUUUCCAGCCGAUCCCUGCCCUCAGCUAGCUGUCAUAGUUGCACAAAUCAUCAAAAAAAAAAGUCACAUAACUGACCUCCAAUUAGAUCCAGUACGAAGUACUGGGCAGUAAUGUUGGAUGGCCAUGAUGGACGAGGAUCUCAAUGUCCUGUGAAAUUGCAACAAGCUCUCUGAGUCAUCAAAGGAAGAUUUGAUUAGGUUCCAUCUUGUUGAGAGUAUGUAGCAUUCCAGAGUGGCCAUGGCUGUGACGAUGAAGUGCUAGAAAAGCAGAGAACAAGUGAGGGGUGGAAGAGGGAUGUGGCAUGGAGGGACCCCAGGCCCUUGAGAAGAGGAGAAGGAGUUUAUCCCUUGGCACAUAGGACAGCGUUUCCCCGCUGUCAUCCUUCAUGCACUGUCUUCAAGGCCUUUGUGAAACUCCCCAC
This is a long non-coding RNA of Suricata suricatta (meerkat), 714 nucleotides long. RefSeq lists it as uncharacterized. The record is from RefSeq and is a predicted model, not a curated record. The transcript has 3 exons. NCBI's taxonomy places the organism in Eukaryota, Metazoa, Chordata, Mammalia, Carnivora, Herpestidae.